GAUCCUGGCUCAGAAUCAACGCUGGCGGCGUGCCUAACACAUGCAAGUCGAACGCGGUUAGUAGCAAUACUAACUGAGUGGCGAACGGGUGAGUAACGCGUGGGUGACCUACCUUCGAGUGGGGGAUAACGUCCCGAAAGGGACGCUAAUACCGCAUGACAUCCUGCCUUUGAACAGGCGGAGAUCAAAGCCGGGGAUCGCAAGACCCGGCGCUUGAUGAGGGGCCCGCGUCUGAUUAGCUAGUUGGUGGGGUAAUGGCUCACCAAGGCGACGAUCAGUAUCCGGCCUGAGAGGGCGGACGGACACACUGGGACUGAGACACGGCCCAGACUCCUACGGGAGGCAGCAG
RNAcentral lists this ribosomal RNA (349 nucleotides) under uncultured Acidobacteriota bacterium. RNAcentral's name for it is "bacterial SSU rRNA". It matches the Rfam family "Bacterial small subunit ribosomal RNA", at positions 15 to 354 of the family's 1533-position model. Lineage: Bacteria; Pseudomonadati; Acidobacteriota. The record is from RNAcentral.